CCUACGUGAGGCAGCAGUGAGGAAUAUUGGUCAAUGGGCGCGAGCCUGAACCAGCCAAGUAGCGUGAAGGCUGACUGCCCUACGGGUUGUAAACUUCUUUUAUAAAGGAAUAAGGUGAGGCACGUGUGCCUUUUUGUAUGUACUUUAUGAAUAAGGAUCGGCUAACUCCGUGCCAGCAGCCGCGGUAAUACGGAGGAUCCGAGCGUUAUCCGGAUUUAUUGGGUUUAAAGGGAGCGUAGAUGGGUUGUUAAGUCAGUUGUGAAAGUUUGCGGCUCAACCGUAAAAUUGCAAUUGAUACUGGCAAUCUUGAUUACAGUUGAGGUAGGCGGAAUUCGUGGUGUAGCGGUGAAAUGCUUAGAUAUCACGAAGAACUCCGAUUGCGAAGGCAGCUUACUAAACUGCCACUGACAUUGAUGCUCGAAAGUGUGGGUAUCAAACAGGAUUAGAUACCCUUGUAGUC
This 460-nucleotide ribosomal RNA is filed under the name uncultured bacterium. RNAcentral describes it as "partial 16S ribosomal RNA". It matches the Rfam family "Bacterial small subunit ribosomal RNA", at positions 338 to 795 of the family's 1533-position model. The record is from RNAcentral.